CAAAUUCGGUCUAUAGGAUUUC
RNAcentral lists this microRNA (22 nucleotides) under Lingula anatina. RNAcentral's name for it is "Lan-Mir-10-P1v_3p* (star (passenger))". The record is from RNAcentral. Lineage: Eukaryota; Metazoa; Brachiopoda; Lingulata; Lingulida; Lingulidae.